GAUAGAACGGCAGCUAAAGUGCUUGGCAUUUCAAAACCCUGGACCGCAGGUGGCAGAUUUUAACCCUGAGACAAGGCAGCAGAAAAAGAAAGCGCGGAUGUCGAAGAUGAAUGAAUAUUUUUCUGUGAAGUACAAGGUGAUGAAGAAGUAUGACAAAAGUGGCAGGCUGAUCUGUAACGAUGUGGACCUGUGCGACUGCCUGGAGAAGAACUGCCUGGGGUGCUUCUACCCGUGCCCCAAGUGCAACUCCAACAAGUGUGGGCCAGAGUGCCGGUGCAACCGCCGCUGGGUCUAUGAUGCCAUCGUCACUGAGUCUGGCGAGGUCAUCAGCACCCUGCCAUUUAGUGUUCCUGACUAGGAGAUAUUAUGC
Molecule: RNA transcript, 370 nt
Organism: Grammomys surdaster
Lineage: Eukaryota; Metazoa; Chordata; Mammalia; Rodentia; Muridae
Gene name: ARL14 effector protein-like pseudogene
Exons: 1
Source: RefSeq, a predicted model, not a curated record